UUCAGAUUAUUAAUCCAUUUAAUGAUUGGCUGACUUGGAGGGGGGUGGUUCUAGUUUUUACAAUUCAUUAUCUAGGCGACACUAGUCCCCUUUGGAUGUGUAGUUGGUGAAGACCCCAUCAGGAAAUGUUUAGAUUCACAGCUCUUGUCACUCUGGUGGUUGUUUUCUCUGCUGUGCUGGAGCUCAAUUUCAUGUUAUGCUGUUUGAAGUCCUCGCCUGUGUCUAAAUCUUGAGUUGUUCCAUCUGUGUUUACCUCUAGCCUUCAAAGUUCCAGGUCUUACAUUAUGUUUUUUUUUGAUCCAUUUAGAAUUGAUUUUUUGGAAGGCUGAGAUGGGUCUUUCGCUCUUUUAUAUAUGGAAAUACAGUUUCCCAGCACCAUUUAUUCAAUAGGUUUUCUUUUCUCAAAUAUGUGUUUUAAUUGUUUUGUCAAAAAAUAAGUUGCCUCAGUGGUUAAGAAAAGUCAGAGGACUUGGGUUUGAUUCCCAGCAUCCCCAUGGUGGCUCACAACUGUCUAUAACUCCUAUUCCAGGAGAUCUGCUGCCCUCCUCUGGCUUCCAAGGGACCAAGCAUGCACAUGAUACAGGGAUAUGUGUAGGCAAAACACACACAUAAAAAUAAUUUGAAAAAAUAGGUUGUUAUAGCUCUGUGGCCUUAUUUCUGAGUCCUCUGAUCUAUCACUCUGCAUGUUUUUUGUACCAGGACCAUGGUGAUUUUGUCACUAUGGCUCUGUAAUAUAAUUUGAGAUCAGAUGUAACACCUCCAGUAUUGUCCUUUCUGCUAAGGAAUGUCUUAGCUGCUUAGGGUACUUGGUGUUUCCAUAAGAAUAUUAGGAUUGUCUUCGCUAAUCCUGUGAAGAAUGUAAAUGAGAUUUUGUUGGUGACUAUAUACCAAAUGUGUAAACUGCUGUUGAUACUGUAGCCAUGUCAUGAUAUUCAUUCUACCUACCAUUGAGCAUGAAAUGUCUUUUCAUUUCUAGUAGUGGCUUCUUCACCUUCAUUUUUCAGCAUCUUGAAGUUUUCAUUGUACAGAUCUUCACCUCCUUUGAUUAACUCUAUUCCUAGGAAUUUUAUUUUUUUAAAGCUAUUGUGAAUGGGAUUUCUUUUUUUCUGAUUUCUUUUGCACAUGUUCAUUAUUGGUGCAUAGGAAAGCUAUUCAUUUUGUGUAUAUUGCUUUUGUAUCCUGCUACUGAGUUGAAAGUGUUUGUAGACCCAGUUUUCUAACUGAGUCUUUAGACCACUUUCCCUGGUUAAUCUAGACACACAAAAAAAAUUCUCAAUUAAUCUGGCAAAUCAAAUUCAAGAACACAUUAAGAUCACACAGUGGGCCCCAGUGGUGAACGUAUUACUAUUAUUUUGCUAAAUGGAAACAAUAUCAAACUGCCCCUUAAAUUUAUAUUCCUAAACCAAUAGCUUAGUGUAGCUCUCAGAUCUCACCAGAGAAGUAUCUCUGUGAAGUAGAUCAACAGAGAAACUCAUGACCAAUCAAAGUGCAGAGAAAAUGUCUGUGGCAUGCUCAGCUACAAAUGGGACGCCUGUACCACACCCCCUCAUUCCAAGACUCCAGGAUCGUUGUGGAAGUAGGGGAAACACUCUAAGAGUGACAGGUCAGGGAAGACAGAAGCAAGCAACGUCACCUGGAUAUGACAGGACCACUGCACUCAUGAACUCGACAGCAGCUGUGAUUGCGCACACCAGAUCAAGGCAGUCAACAUCCAAGCAAGUGAUGAGGAGGGACUCGUGAGUCUCCACCCCUAGCUAAGGAGCUACUGACAGUUGGCUUUGGGAGAAGAGUCUGUUCUCUUUAAGGACGGGGUCUCUGGCCAACAUGUUCACCAUAAAAACCCCAACUUUCUUCAAGAAUCAAAAUAACUACUUGGAGGAUGAACCUAACAUGCUGGAGCAUCCACGUCCUCAGAAGCAGUUUUCAACCAAAGGUGAAUGGAGUCCUCACCCCUCAUCAAGGAAACUUCUUUUUGUAACAGUCAGAGGCCAUCACAGAAAAGAGCCAAUCGAAAUACAGUUGCGGUUCCCAGUCUGAGUGAAUAGACCUGCAGUAUAAUUCCUGCACCUAAGGCUCAGGGGUCACUGUGGGAGAAGGGGUGGAAAGACUGUCAGAGCUAGAGGAACAGGGAGUUUUCUGUGAGAUGUGUCUCCUAAGAAUGUCAGAAGCUACACCCACAAAAUAUCACCAGCCUGGCUGACUAAACAUGAGUGGAACACGGAAGACACCCUUGUUCAAUAGACAUGUCAGUGUCAACCAAUGGACAUCCUAACAUAGAUGUGGGGAGAGCUCAGAGGCCUGGCUUAUAUUCUUAUGAAUUCUAUAUCCAGAAUGUCUGUUAUGUCUUUCUAAUUAUUUUCCAGGAAUAUCAAUUUAAUUUUCAUGUUACGCGCGCGCGCGCGCGCGCGCGCGUGUGUGUGUGUGUGUGUGUGUGUGUGUGUGUGUGUGUGUUAGAAGUAAUGAGUAGAAAUAUAUUCAAUAACUCAGUUCCUUAUUAUAGGGUCUGUUAGGCAUUCAUAGUCUAGCUAGUAGA
Molecule: long non-coding RNA, 2533 nt
Organism: Peromyscus maniculatus bairdii (prairie deer mouse)
Lineage: Eukaryota; Metazoa; Chordata; Mammalia; Rodentia; Cricetidae
Source: RefSeq, a predicted model, not a curated record